GGGCACAUGGUGUAGUUGGUUAUCACGCUCGCUUAGCAUGGAGCCUCACAGCUGUACAGAUUUGCGAGAGGUGUUGGGUUCAAUUCCCAAUGUGUCCA
RNAcentral lists this transfer RNA (98 nucleotides) under Gymnopilus junonius. Its description in RNAcentral is "tRNA-Ala". It matches the Rfam family "tRNA". Rfam says of the family: Transfer RNA (tRNA) molecules are approximately 80 nucleotides in length. Their secondary structure includes four short double-helical elements and three loops (D, anti-codon, and T loops). The record is from RNAcentral. Lineage: Eukaryota; Fungi; Basidiomycota; Agaricomycetes; Agaricales; Galerinaceae.